RNAcentral lists this ribosomal RNA (460 nucleotides) under uncultured Acholeplasma sp. RNAcentral's name for it is "bacterial SSU rRNA". It matches the Rfam family "Bacterial small subunit ribosomal RNA", at positions 920 to 1378 of the family's 1533-position model. Lineage: Bacteria; Bacillati; Mycoplasmatota; Mollicutes; Acholeplasmatales; Acholeplasmataceae. The record is from RNAcentral.
ACGGGGCCCGCACAAGCGGUGAUCAUGUGUUAAUUCGAUGAUACGCGAAGAACCUUACCAGGUCUUGACAUCCCAUGCAAAGCUAUAGAGAUAUAGUGGAGGUUACCAUGGAGACAGGUGGUGCAUGGUUGUCGUCAGCUCGUGUCGUGAGAUGUUGGGUUAAGUCCCGCAACGAGCGCAACCCUUAUUGCUAGUUACCAUCAUUAAGUUGGGGACUCUAGCGAGACUGCCAGUGAUAAACUGGAGGAAGGUGGGGAUGACGUCAAAUCAUCAUGCCCCUUAUGACCUGGGCUACAAACGUGAUACAAUGGCUGAAACAAAGGGCAGCGAAGCAGUGAUGUGAAGCGAAACCCAAAAAAGCAGUCUCAGUUCGGAUUGAAGUCUGCAACUCGACUUCAUGAAGUCGGAAUCGCUAGUAAUCGCGAAUCAGAACGUCGCGGUGAAUACGUUCUCGGGGUUU